Molecule: long non-coding RNA, 812 nt
Filed under: Anas platyrhynchos platyrhynchos (common mallard)
Lineage: Eukaryota; Metazoa; Chordata; Aves; Anseriformes; Anatidae
Description: lncRNA (ENSAPLG00000020845.1)
Source: RNAcentral
GUGAGAAGAAGGUAAGAGACUGUGUGAAACAGAUGGAGAAAUACAUUGGAAGGUAGCUUUGGGACGAUGAGAAAGAGGAAAGGGAAAGAGUGAGAUCAUUGCCCUGGAGAUUAAAGAGCAAUUCAAGACCUCUUCCUAUCAGUGAGGAUUAGGAUGGCAGGGGAAUGCUCUUAUAGGUUGCUUAUACGUUGCUAUUUAUUUGUCUGGAUUUUUGUUUGUUUAUUUGUUUGUUUGAAUAUAUAAUAGUCAAUAAUCUUUUGUAGAGAAUAGGCAAUAAACAUCUAUGGCUUUAAAAACCAGAACACAGGCGAACUAACACUGACUUUUUUUUUUCACCUUUGUGAUUUUUUUAAAGACAAAUCACUAGAAAUGUUGGCCCUGACUGCCGAUUCACAGCUUUUGACUGCAUGAUUAUUGAUAGGAAUUCCAGUAUGAUGGACCAGCCACAGCUGUAUUUCACAGGGUUGUUUUCUGUGCUGACUCAGUGUGCCCAGCUGAAGGAAUAGAAUGGAGGAAGCUUUAUGUUGGGUAAGUAAGGAGACAUUUAAGUCAGCCCUGCCUCUGAGACAGAUGUAGCCACAGUAUUAGAGGAAGACACCCAGCACUGCGUGCCUGCACUGGUGGAAUUUACCAAGAAAUUUAGACUGUCUUGUGGUGGACAGUUAUAAUCUGGCUUGAUUGAAGAAGUGCUUCAGAUUGGAAAAAUAUUUAUAAAACACUGAGAAAACUGUGAUAACUCUGAUUGCUCAGAAGAAAAUUGCAAUUAUUUCCUCCAUUAUUUAUUAAUCCUUAAGCUCCUCCAAGAUAUCUAU